UUGACCAAAGCCCUAUGGGCCUUGUUUGAUUUCCCCAGGACUGGGCAACCCUGUCAAGGCGGUGGCCUCUGAGUCCCUGUCUCUGUGAGGUGAAUUUCGAUGAGGGGGCUUUAAGAGAAAGAAAGGCCCCCUCAGACAGAACCUCUGCACUGUGUGCUCUCUCUGUCAUACAGGCCUGGCAGGGAACGUGACUUCUUCAUGAAUGGAGAGUGGACAAACACGGCUUUGAGGUCUUUUUUUCUCUCUCCUUGUCCUAGUGUGGGGAUAGUUGUGCAGGUUUGAGGCUGGUUGAUACUUCUGGACAACGCAGGGUGAAAGGGGAAGAGGGUCUGUGUUGUGUGGCUUCUGAUGAGGCAGGGGGCACAUUGACUGGAAUGAAUACAAGUAACAGCAACUGUUUCUAUUUUCUAGAUUGGGAAUUCUGGUUUAUAUACUGCUAAAGUUCCCUUUUGCAAACGCUUAUUAAACAUUUAUUUUAUGCCAUUUUGCUCACUUUUCCAUAUUACCCUGAAAUACAGCACUUCAUAUUUGUUGAAUAGAAUAAUAUGUAUCGACAGUUCACAUAGGCAACCCUCCACAAACAGCACAUUGACCCGAGGCUGCAGAAGCUGUCACACAGAGUUCAUACAUAUAGAGAAUAAUGUACAUUGUGAAGCUGCAAUAACAUCACUAUGGCAACUACUGUACAGCAAGGUUCCAGGGGCUAGAGAACAGCUCUACACAUCAUUCCUUCUGUGUUACAGGUUAACCGUGGAAAACCAUCCCAGCAAUAAUUCAUGAUGCAGUAAGGAGCCACGAUCCCACUUUUUAUAAACCAGGUCCGCUUGAGAAGACACAGAUUUGUAAAUGAAUGCAUCAGCACCCACGCACCUACCCACCCACACGCAAACACACACACACACCAACACACACACACACGCAAACACACACAAACACACACUACAGGAGCAGGGAAUUCACAAGCCAGUUGAUUUUACCCCCUAAUUACAAGAUUAUUUCAUCUGCGGGUCCAGGAUGUCAGGCAGUUAUUGAGGCAGAAGGACACGACCUCCUCUCUGAUUGCAGGGACGAUCCAGCUACGGCCGCUCAUUCGUUUGGCGCACACACCUGUGCCAAUACUGUGGUAAUACUAAACCCAUUACACAACGCAAUGACAUAUCACCAUCGACAUCUUUCAGCUUCUGGAACACACACCCCAAAUAACUGUUGUACUAUAUGAUAUGACACCAUGCCAUACCAUAUCACAGGAUUGUUAUAUUUCAAAGCUGAGGAAGGAACUUCACUCAUUGAUCCUAGAGGAAGAUAUUGCAGCCAACAUGGAACAGUGUGAAUCCACAGAGAGCAGAGCACAAUCUCUGGAUGAGAGACAGAGAAGUUCUGGGCACAAAUCAACCCAAACUUUCUGUCUGCGGCAGCGGGAGCUUCCAUUUGUAAGUCAUGUCUUUUAUGGAGGGACAUAAAAGGAGGAGUGUGGAGGGAGAGAUAGAAACAGAGGGGUGUUGGGGGAUUUAAAAAAACACCCUGCUGGGUUCUCACAGAGAAGGACCAGACAGCCGGGUCAUGUUGUAACACACUCCGGAAAAUGUCCAAGUGUCAUGUCAGGCGACGGGGGCGUCUCUCUGGCCAUGGCUCAGCGGGAGUGAGACAUCCCACCACAGCUGCACUUCCUCAUCAGUGGAUGAAGAUGCGUGUGGAGUUGACAGAGAUAAAGCGAUAGGAAACGAUGGUUGGUUCUCAAUAGAAUGCUAAGGGUUUCGCAUCAUUUAGUAGUUAGACAAAAGCUCUCUCUUUAGGGAAAUAGCGAAAGCAGCAUGCCAUGUACAGUAAAAACAAUAUAUUCAUCAAUAUUAAUGAUAAUACAUUGCUGCCUCCAUGGGUGUCUAAAUCUUGUUGAAUAAUUCAACAAAAUUUGUUCCAGCUCAUCAUCACGACUUAACACUCUCCCACAUUUCCCGACCCUGAAACAGGUUUCUGGCUAGCCUACCAUUAGAGAUUUCCUUACGUGAUAUGAAGCAGAGGGAGCCCUGCAUGGCAAUGCUAAUCAGUUUAAGGGUUUUGACACCGCUGUCAACAUCAUUAGCCAGUCUUAUUCAGAUCCCUUGCGUGUCGACUCUAAAUUAUACAUCAUGAGGUUCAGUCAAGGUAUUCAGUGGAGCUGUCACGAAGAUGACUCCCAGGUCCACGGAGGGACGUCACUAUGCCAACCUCUUGCCUUAAUUAGACGGUCUUGGCCCAUUCCAGGAAGUCCCCAUAGUACCUUUACAUAAUCUCUUCAGCAUGCUGGAGGUGUGUAGCAACAGUGUAGCAGGCAGUGACUCUGCUGGAACGUCACCACAGGCAUCCUCCAUUGCCUGGAGACGGGCCAGACGGAGAGAUGGAGAUGGGCAGUGAUGUAUGGUCCAAGGGUGGCAUGGAGGUGGAGGACCCCAUUGUGGCUCAUAGCUGCGCAUACGGUGACAUUUCCCCCGCGCUGGCCGGGUACCUCAAUGAUGGCACGUUGACCAAUAACGUUCCUUCCUCUCCUCCUCGUCUUCGCUGAAUCCAGCCUCAUCUAUGAAUAUGAAUUCCUGGGGGAUGGGACUUGCAUCCAACUCCAUGAUUCUCUGAAAUGACAGUAAAUACUGUAAUUGCUGUAUAGUAAAGUUCACUGGCA
Molecule: long non-coding RNA, 2653 nt
Filed under: Salmo salar (Atlantic salmon)
Lineage: Eukaryota; Metazoa; Chordata; Actinopteri; Salmoniformes; Salmonidae
Description: lncRNA (ENSSSAG00000085084.1, ENSSSAG00020083117.1)
Source: RNAcentral